UUGUUGCUGUUGUUGCUGUUGUUUUCAAAGACCACCCCAGCCACUGUUUACAGGAUCAAAAGCAUUAUAAAAUAUGUGUAAUUAUUUCCUGAGCACGCCCUUCCUCCUCCUCUCUCUGUCUCUCUGUCUCUGUCUCUCUCUUUCUCUGUCUUCUCUCUCUGUCUCUCUCUCUCUGCCUAUUUCUCUCUCUCUCUCUCUGCCUGUCUCUCUCACUGUGUCUGUCUUCUGUCUUACUCCCUUUCUCUGCCUGCCUGUCUGUCUCUCUCUCUCUCUUUCUCUGUCUGUCUUCUCUCUCUCUUGCUC
RNAcentral lists this long non-coding RNA (303 nucleotides) under Pan troglodytes (chimpanzee). RNAcentral's name for it is "lncRNA (ENSPTRG00000054310.1)". Lineage: Eukaryota; Metazoa; Chordata; Mammalia; Primates; Hominidae. The record is from RNAcentral.